RNAcentral lists this ribosomal RNA (458 nucleotides) under uncultured bacterium. RNAcentral describes it as "bacterial SSU rRNA". It matches the Rfam family "Bacterial small subunit ribosomal RNA", at positions 917 to 1382 of the family's 1533-position model. The record is from RNAcentral.
GAGCCCGCACAAGCAGUGGAGCAUGUGGUUUAAUUCGAAGAUACGCGAAGAACCUUACCAGGGCUUGACAUACCGUUUAACACUCUAGAGAUAGAGGAAUAUAUGACGGAUACAGGUGGUGCAUGGUUGUCGUCAGCUCGUGUCGUGAGAUGUUAGGUUAAGUCCUCCAACGAGCGCAACCCUUGUCCUUAGUUACCAUCAUUCAGUUGGGGACUCUAAGGAGACCGCCGGUGUAAACCGGAGGAAGGUGGGGAUGACGUCAAAUCAUCAUGCCCUUUAUGUCCUGGGCGACACACGUGCUACAAUGGUCGGAACAAAGAGCAGCAAACUCGCGAGAGUAAGCGAAUCUCAGAAAACCGAUCUCAGUUCGGAUCGAAGUCUGCAACUCGACUUCGUGAAGCCGGAAUUGCUAGUAAUCGCAGAUCAGCCAUGCUGCGGUGAAUACGUUCCCGGGCUUU